UGAAUAGCUUGGCUGAGGUUGUGAUGAAGGACGUGGCAAGCUGCGAUAAGCUUGGGUGAGCUGCAUGCAAGCAUUGAACCCGAGAUUUCCGAAUAGGACAACCUUUUAUUCCGAGAUGGAAACAUACGCCGGGAAUUGAAACAUCUUAGUACCGGCUGGAAAAGAAAACAAUUGUGAUGCCCCCAGUAACAGCGAGCGAAAAGGGCAAAGGGCAAGCUGAAUCUUGCUUCGAAAGGAGUGUAGAGAUGUGGCGAGUGAAUCCCUAAGUAUGCGAGUUGAAGUGCACUGGAAGGUGUCACCUUAGAGAGUGAGAGUCUCGUAAACAAAGCAUAUAUGGGAUUGCUCAGAAAGAGUAGUGCUUCCCGGAUUGGAAGCAUGAAUACGGCAGAAUUAACUGCCAACCCUAAAUAUAAACCUCAGUCCGAUAGCGUAAUAGUACCGCGAGGGAAAGCUGAAAAGCACUCCUAGAGGAGGGUUAAAAGACUUGAAAUCUGCGAGCUACAGUUUGAUACGGCGGUAGUCGUAUCGUACGUUUUGAAAAACGGGCCAGGGAGUUUAUUUAUGUGGCGAAGUUAACGAAAGGAAGCUGAAGCGAAAGCGAGUCUGAAAGGGCGAUAGUCACAUGGGUAAGACCCGAAGCCAGGUGAUCUAUUCCUUAGCAAGGCGAAGUUUCUCGAAAGAGGAAUGGAGGCCUGAACCAGUGUUGUGUGCACGCACUUGGAUGACUUGGGAAUAGGGGUGAAAAGCCACUCUAACCUGGCGAUGGCUGGUUCCUGUCGAAAUAUGCCUUAGUAUAGUCUUGCUUAUUGCUGGCUCAUGAGGUAAAGUACGGAUGAAAUUUGCAGGGGCUAUUGCUCACGGAACUUUUUCCAACUCAGAACUUGUGAGCAGUUGAGCAGGAAUCAGGGGUAGUGUGUAAGAUACUAUUCCGCAACCGGAACAACGGAGCCUUUGGUUAAGGUCCCAAAAUUCAUGCUAAGUGUAUCAAAAGGAGUCCCGAAUCUGAGACAGCGGGGAUGUAGGCUUAGAAGCAGCCAUCAUUUAAAGAAAGCGUAACAGCUCACCUGUAGAGGUUCGGGGCACUGAAAAUGGACGGGGCUAAGCAUGAUACCGAUACCAAAGACAUGCUCAUUAGAGCAUUGUGGUAGACAGGCGUCUUUUCUGCCGAGAAGCAUCUUCGAGAGAAGGUGUGGAGCAGGAAGGAAUGAAGAUCCUGGUGGUAGUAAGAUCAAAUUUUCCUAAGAUUCGGAAAAGGUCGAAAGGGCGCGGUUUCCUUGGCAAUAACAUUUAGCCAAGGGUUAGUCAGCACCUAAGCCAUAUCUUAACUGACUAUGGCGAUGGACAACAGGUUAAUAUUCCUGUACUUGCAUAUUUCAUUGAGUAUGCAGAUAGCUUUCGGAUAGGCGCGGGCUCGAGAGGGCUAAGGACAGAGAAAUCUAUGGAUUGUAAUGAUAAGAAAUGGAUGAAUCUGUUCUGAAUGUGCUGACUCCAAGAGCCAGUGAAAAACUGCAUAUAAGACAUAUGUAAGCUGUACCAAGAACCAACACAGGUGCCCUAGCUGAGAAGGCUAAGACCUGAAAGGAUAAACUGGUUAAGGGAACUCGGCAUAUUAGCGCUGUAUCUUCGGUAUAAAGCGUGUCGAAUUUUGUCCUUGAUAUUAGAGGGCAUUGUUCGAUUUCAAUAACAAGGAUGGCCCGACUGUUUAACAAAAACGUAGCCGGUUGCUAACCCGAAAGGACUUGUAUAACCGGUGAGACCUGCCCAGUCGCGGUGUCUCAAACCUCUUUCCAAAGGGGCUAAGGCCCGUGAAACGGCGGAGGUAACUAUGACCUUCUUAAGGUAGACAAAAGCUGCCUUACGGCAUACAAAAAGUAUGACGCUCAAAGGGUUAUAGAAAGAUACAGUUUAAAAAAAUUAAACCAAGGAGAAAAUCGAGCUAUAUGCUGGAAACUCUCAUUGAAACUUUGUAGGAAAUUAUCGUCGUGAGAUGAUAACAAAAACUGAAAAUCAAAGUGGAGAGACAAUCAGCAGGAAAGGCGAGAAUUAGUAAAAGGAAACAAUUAUAAAUAUAGAAAGAUAAUUUCUAUUAUGAAAUCCUGGAGAGAAUUAGAUAUAUGGAAUAAAAUAUUUUUUCUUGGUGUUGCAUUCCUAAUUUUAGCAUUUUUACUUCCAUUGAUAUUAAAUUUAUUUGGAAAUACUGAAAUGGGAAUUUUAAUUUUUACACCUACAUUUUUAAUCCUCGGAUUUUUAUUAAUACUUAUCUCAAUUUUUGCAAAAAAAUUUGUAAGACAAAAAUAAUUAAUUCUCGAAUCCUCAGACACUAAUACGCUCGACAUCUCAAUGAGAUGAAGAUAGAGUGCGAUCUGCAUGGCGACAUGCAGCAGAUAAUUUGAGUGAUCAAAUUAUAAAUAACAAUAAAAUAAGCGUAAUACCUUGUCGUCUGAAUGGCGACUUGCAUGAAUGGUUUAAUGAGGUUGUCACUGUCCCUAACCAGAACCUUCCGAACACACUGUCCGGUGAAAAUGCCGGAGUCACCUAGUGGGAAGUUAAGACCUUGUAGACCUUUACUGCAACUUGUUGUUGUGGUUUUAUGAGAGGUACAUAGAAUAGGUAGGAGCGUAGAUGCCUAGCUUUGGCAAAGGCGGAGCAACUGUGUAAUACUACUUAUCUUUCAUGAAGCUUCUUACUUGAAAGAGGACAGCAACUGGCGGGCAGUUUGGCUGGGGCGGCGCCCUGUCGAAAAGAUAUCGAUAGGGCCCAAAGACAAGCUCAUCCGGCUUGGAAAUCCGGAGUUGAGUGCAAGGGCAAAAGCUUGUCUGACUGUAUUCCGACCAGUGAGGAAUGCAGGACUGAAAGGUGGGCCUAGCGAACUCACCAUGUCUUUUAAUGGGACAGGUGAAUGACGGAAAAGGUACCUCAAGGACAACAGGCUUGUCGCGCCCGAUAGUCCAUAUUGACGGCGCGGUUUGGUACAUCGCUGUCGGCUCUUCCUAUCCUGGCUGUGCAUAAGCAGCCAAGGGUGUCGGAGUUCACGCAUUAAAAGGGAUCGUUAGCUGGGUUAAGAACGUACAUAUUAAGAGUUGCAAACUAACGAUCUUGUCCAAAUCGCAACUAUCAAAAACGCGGCGUUGCUUGCGAGUAAUCGCAUGAAAAAUAAAAUCAGCUCAUAUCGGUGGAGCCUUUUUCUCCAAAAGAGAAGAUGGUAAUACCGAGGGAAGUCGAUGAAAACCUUUUUAAAGCUUAUAAAUAAGGAUUUUUAUUAUGGGAUUAACUAAAGACAUGAAAGAUUUUUUAGGAUUGUACGGAGGAAUAAUCCGUGCAGCAGAAAAUCUAAAUUAUUUGAAGGAUAAAACUUUAAGAGCUUAUGAUCAUCUAAGAGACAAAAUCUUUUCAGAUUUAUUAGCUCUCGAAUGGUAUUAUCCUUCAAUCUAUGAUGAUUUAGAAAAGAAUCCAAUUCAUUUUAGACCAUCAGAACUAAUGUUAAAAGUUGUUAAUUUUCAUUUGACCCCUUAGAGACUUAGAUUUUCUCUUCAAACAAAGAGAUAGGAAUCGUCAAUUCCAAAAAAUCUGGACUUAUUCUUUGAUAGGAUAGGUAACACGCUGAUCCCCUAAUAAUCAAUAGGAGUCUAAGAACCUUGGUUCUUAGGGUGAAGGUAUAGUCCAUACAAAGCAAAUAAAUAAGCUUUGAGUAAUAUACGUGAGACAGUUUGUGUAAUAUCUACUAGGUGUGUUGUUGUCUGAGUGGAACGAUCCUUUAGUACGAGAGGAACGGGGAUUGGUAGCCUCUAGUGUAGCAGUUCUCAUGGGGAAGCUGCGCAGCCACGCUAUGUAUGGAUAAGAGCUGAAAGCAUCUAAGCUCGAAGCCAUCCGCAAAACGAGACAACUGAGGCCGCCAUAGAAGAUGGCGUUGAUAGAGUUGGGGUGUAAGCACCAAGAACCCGAGGUGUUCAGCCCGCAACUACUAAAAGCCG
Molecule: ribosomal RNA, 3971 nt
Filed under: Candidatus Pacearchaeota archaeon
Lineage: Archaea; Nanobdellati
Description: 23S ribosomal RNA
Rfam family: Archaeal large subunit ribosomal RNA (bases 1-3098)
Source: RNAcentral